This 1145-nucleotide ribosomal RNA is filed under the name uncultured cyanobacterium. Its description in RNAcentral is "bacterial SSU rRNA". It matches the Rfam family "Bacterial small subunit ribosomal RNA", at positions 377 to 1533 of the family's 1533-position model. Lineage: Bacteria; Bacillati; Cyanobacteriota. The record is from RNAcentral.
CGAAGCCUGACGGAGCAAUACCGCGUGAGGGAAGAAGGCUUUUGGGUUGUAAACCUCUUUUGUCAGGGAGGAAGAAUUGACGGUACCUGAAGAAAAAGCAUCGGCUAACUCCGUGCCAGCAGCCGCGGUAAUACGGAGGAUGCAAGCGUUAUCCGGAAUCAUUGGGCGUAAAGGGUCCGCAGGCGGCGAAUAAGGUCCGCUGUUAAAGACCGGGGCUAAACUCCGGAAAGGCAGUGGAAACUGAUUAGCUAGAGUACGGUAGGGGUAGAGGGAAUUCCCAGUGUAGCGGUGAAAUGCGUAGAUAUUGGGAAGAACACCGGUGGCGAAAGCGCUCUACUAGGCCGAAGCUGACACUGAGGGACGAAAGCUAGGGUAGCGAAAGGGAUUAGAUACCCCUGUAGUCUUAGCGGUAAACGAUGGAUACUAGGUGUAGCUUGUAUCGACCCGAGCUGUGCCGAAGCUAACGCGAUAAGUAUCCCGCCUGGGGAGUACGCACGCAAGUGUGAAACUCAAAGGAAUUGACGGGGGCCCGCACAAGCGGUGGAGUAUGUGGUUUAAUUCGAUGCAACGCGAAGAACCUUACCAGGGCUUGACAUGUCGCGAAUCUAGCGGAAACGUUAGAGUGCCUUAGGGAAUGCGAACACAGGUGGUGCAUGGCUGUCGUCAGCUCGUGUCGCGAGAUGUUGGGUUAAGUCCCGCAACGAGCGCAACCCUCGUCCUUAGUUGCCAAUAUUAAGUUAGGCACUCUAGGGAGACUGCCGGGGACAACUCGGAGGAAGGUGGGGAUGACGUCAAGUCAGCAUGCCCCUUACGUCCUGGGCGACACACGUACUACAAUGGUUGGGACAAAGGACAGCAAGCUCGCGAGAGUAAGCGAAUCUCAUCAAACCCAGCCACAGUUCAGAUUGCAGGCUGCAACUCGCCUGCAUGAAGUAGGAAUCGCUAGUAAUCGCAGGUCAGCAUACUGCGGUGAAUUCGUUCCCGGGCCUUGUACACACCGCCCGUCACACCAUGGAGGCUGGCUACGCCCGAAGUCGUUACCCUAACCCGGUUUUGGGAGGGGGAUGCCGAAGGUAGAGCUAGUGACUGGGGUGAAGUCGUAACAAGGUAGCCGUACCGGAAGGUGUGGCUGGAUCACCUCCUUU